The sequence is a small nuclear RNA, 164 nucleotides long. Its record names the gene U1. It matches the Rfam family "U1 spliceosomal RNA". Rfam says of the family: U1 is a small nuclear RNA (snRNA) component of the spliceosome (involved in pre-mRNA splicing). Its 5' end forms complementary base pairs with the 5' splice junction, thus defining the 5' donor site of an intron. There are significant differences in sequence and secondary structure between metazoan and yeast U1 snRNAs, the latter being much longer (568 nucleotides as compared to 164 nucleotides in human). The record is from Ensembl.
AUACUUACCUGGCAGGGGAGAUACCAUGAUCAUGAAGGUGGUUCACCCAAGGUGAGGCUCAGCCAUUGCACUGGGGCUGUGCUGACCUUUGCGAAUUCCCCAAAUGUGGGAAUCUCGACUGCAUAAUUUCUGGUAGUGGGGGACUGCGUUCGCGCUCUCCCCUG